AUGCUAAUUUCAGCAGCACAUUUAAUAAAAUUGCAACAACACAGAGGUUAGCAUGGCCCCUGCGCAAGGAUGACAUGCAAAUUCGGGAAGCAUUCCAUAUGUUG
Molecule: small nuclear RNA, 104 nt
Organism: Cervus hanglu yarkandensis (Yarkand deer)
Lineage: Eukaryota; Metazoa; Chordata; Mammalia; Artiodactyla; Cervidae
Source: Ensembl